CAGCUAGUUGGUAGGGUAAAGGCCUACCAAGGCAAUGAUCGGUAGCCGGCCUGAGAGGGCACACGGCCACACUGGCACUGAAACACGGGCCAGACUCCUACGGGAGGCAGCAGUGGGGAAUCUUGCACAAUGGAGGAAACUCUGAUGCAGCGACGCCGCGUGAGCGAUGAAGCCCUUCGGGGUGUAAAGCUCCUUCGGCAGGAACGAUAAUGACGGUACCUGCAGAAGAAGCUGCGGCUAACUACGUGCCAGCAGCCGCGGUAAUACGUAGGCAGCAAGCGUUGUUCGGAAUUACUGGGCGUAAAGAGUGUGUAGGCGGUUCUCUAAGUUCCGUGUGAAAUCUCCCGGCUCAACUGGGAGGGUGCGCGGGAAACUGGAGGGCUCGAGUAUGGGAGAGGAAAGCGGAAUUCCUGGUGUAGCGGUGAAAUGCGUAGAUAUCGGGAGGAACACCUGCGGUGUAGACAGCUUUCUGGACCAUCACUGACGCUGAGACACGAAAGCGUGGGUAGCAAACAGGAUUAGAUACCCUGGUAGUCCACGCCCUAAACGAUGCAUACUUGGUGUGAGCCGUUCAUUCGGUUCGUGCCGGAGCUAACGCGUUAAGUAUGCCGCCUGGGGAGUACGGUCGCAAGGCUGAAACU
RNAcentral lists this ribosomal RNA (641 nucleotides) under uncultured Acidobacteriota bacterium. RNAcentral's name for it is "SSU rRNA". It matches the Rfam family "Bacterial small subunit ribosomal RNA", at positions 242 to 901 of the family's 1533-position model. The record is from RNAcentral. Lineage: Bacteria; Pseudomonadati; Acidobacteriota.